GGGGGUAUAGCUCAGGGUUAGAGCAUGAGACUGCAAGACCGAGAGGUCACCAGUUCGAUUCCAGAUACCCCCU
RNAcentral lists this transfer RNA (73 nucleotides) under Gorilla gorilla gorilla (western lowland gorilla). It matches the Rfam family "tRNA". From Rfam's summary of the family: Transfer RNA (tRNA) molecules are approximately 80 nucleotides in length. Their secondary structure includes four short double-helical elements and three loops (D, anti-codon, and T loops). The record is from Rfam by way of RNAcentral. Lineage: Eukaryota; Metazoa; Chordata; Mammalia; Primates; Hominidae.